Molecule: small nuclear RNA, 125 nt
Organism: Physella acuta
Lineage: Eukaryota; Metazoa; Mollusca; Gastropoda; Physidae
Product: U4atac minor spliceosomal RNA
Source: RefSeq, a predicted model, not a curated record
ACCGUCUUUGUCUUGGGGUGAGAGCUUGCUCAAUGAACGUUUAGUGAGAGCAAGACUGCUAACACCAUAGAUAAAAUAAAAACGCAUCACCUUCUUCGGAAGGCAAGGGUGCAAUUUUUAAAGCC